This 2514-nucleotide long non-coding RNA is filed under the name Triticum aestivum (bread wheat). RNAcentral's name for it is "long non-coding RNA (TAES_LNC026590)". The record is from RNAcentral. Lineage: Eukaryota; Viridiplantae; Streptophyta; Magnoliopsida; Poales; Poaceae.
GCCGCACAUUUACCUUGUCCUUAUUCAUAGUUCAUCCACAUGGCUGUCCCUUGGUACAACAUUCAGGUUUGUAAAUAUAACUGGCAUUUAAUGUAACCAGCAAGAAAUACAAAUAAGAAAACCAAGAGACAUAUCACACAAACAAUAUAUUCAACAGGGGAAAAUGGGGUCCGGGUGACUAUAAACAUGUACCACAAAUACAGUUGAAACAGAUCCCAUGAGCAAUAUAGUCCACACAGGAGAACAGUUUCCAAAUGAAUCAAGAUACAUGUAUCGCGUGAAUAUUUUCUAAUGAUCGAAUGUGAAGAGUGCCUUUAUAAUCAAUUACAAACAGCCCCAAUCCCUAAAACAAUAGCACACAUAGAUUUUUUUUUCCUAAAAAUAUGUGCAGGAAUAAGCCAGAACAGAGGAAGCAUCAUCUUUCAGUAAACCAUUGUCACUAAAUUUCAACUGGAGGUGGUGAAGUGAAAAUUGGCGAUAAGUGGUCGGUCUCACCAAUGUCUCCUUCCUGCAUCAAACAAAAUUUCAACAUCAAAAUUGUGUAACAAGGCAUGAAAGUUUGCUUAGACGAAUUAAACAUGUGAUUUGAUGUUUGUGCACAAUUAGCAACACCUCCUGCUAUUAUACAUAAGUAAGCACAAGUAGUAUAUUCCAGGAUGUUUUAAAGGACCAACUGGUUUUACUUAAGAAAAUGAAAUUCAAGUGAACAAGACAACACUAAUAUUACUGUCAGAGUAGUAUGUUAAGUUUCAUACAACCACAGAGAUGUGAUCUGUUGGAAAUGGAUUGAUGUUUCACCCCGAAAGAAGAAACUAGUGCAUAACAGCGCACAGCAUUUACUGUUAACCAAAAGGAUGAGCUCAAUACAACUUGCACAAGCUGUAUUAGUUUUCAUCUAGGUAUUUACAAGCUGCCCUGCAAUGGGGCUCAUGUUUGGUGCUCCCUACAUUGGGAUCUAACAGCCAGCCUAAUGCUCAGCAAGUCAGCAUUGCUUGAUGGUAACUAUCACAAUACCAAAGCAUGUGUAGCAACUAUGGAUAACACCUUGUAAUGAAAUUGCAGUGCGCACCAGCUUUAGGGUGCAUACAUAAGCAACCGAUCUAAGUUUAUUUGACCGCUAUUUAGGCAUGCAUGGAUGAGUUCAGUACAAGUUGUACUGUGUGAAUACAUACAGUGAUGAGGCAGUUGCCCUUGUGGAAGCUCUAUCGCGUUCAAUUCACCCUAGAUUUUUACAAGCUGCUGUUGCAUUGGGAUGAACCAUCGCAUUGCCAUGCAUGUGCAGCAACGCCCUAUACCUCUAUAUAAGCAAAGACUCGUCAAUUUAUGGGGUAAGAUCAAUACAAGCUGUAUCAUAGUUUUGAUCUAGGUUUUUACAUGUUGCUCUCCAAUAUGGAACUCAUGGUCCAUGUGCAGCAAUUCUGUAUAACGCUAUCUAUGUAUAAGCAAAGACUCAUCAAUUUCUGGGCAUAUGACACCUAAAAUAGCAUGGAUUAUAGUUACCGCAUGCAUCAACCUAAAUAGUAGAUUUGAUCUGAAGGUGUUCCUAAACCCUAAACCAUGCCCCUCAAUGAAGUGAUCGAACCUGCAUAUACAUCCAAUCAUGCAAACAUACCUGAUCUGAAGUACCACCAGAUUAAUUAAGCAGGCCCGCAGAUACAGGAUUCACAUUGGCUAGCUGAAUACUAUUGAACUGCUGGCUAAUAUUUGGAUACUAAGGCUCGGCAAAUUGAUGUGAUCUUUUCAAGGUGAUUCGUAUGUAAACGGUAAACCCAACCCCUCCAGGAACCGCUCGAACCAGUGAAAAAUCGACCGAUCUAAUCCGUUAACAAGGUAUAGCGAUAAUCACAGCUACUAUCCCCAGAUCUGGCGGAACGGAAUCGUAACACAGAUACCUAAAUUACCGCGAGAACCGGAUAGAGGAACACGCAGGAUUCACAAACCAGAGCACGGAGCUUACCGAACCCUCAGCUACCUGCACCGACAGUUGGGCCAUCCCCGCGUCCCGGCGCCGCUUCGCGAGCGAGGACGGCGAAGAUCCGCGGCGCGCCCCAAGCACCACGCGCGAGGCGGCGAUCGCCCCGGGCUGCGGCGCCGGCUGCUCGCUGGAGACCAUGAUGUCGCGGCGCUAGGGAUUCUGAUGAGAUCUGCUCGUCGGCGCGCGUGUGAGUGAUGUGGAUAUGAUGGGGAGGGUCCGGGGGCGGAGGAAGCGAGCAAGUUCGGGGAGGGGGCGGAGAGCACGAGGUAUAGCGCGUCGUGCUGGAGCGAGGGCGGGCGAGUCGGGCGUGACGAGGGGCUGGCCGUGGCGUGGUGCGUCCAUCGCGCGCAAGCGGGAUUUUUCUGGGAAAUUGUUGGCCGCCCGCGUCCGCCGCGGCCCAACGGAAUCAAUUUGCGUCUCGCUCGAUUUCAGCAGCAGCCAUCAGCAAAUGGGACGGUGCAAUCCAUCCUGGUAGUGUUCGAUUCGACCCAGCCCGGCACGAAAAAAGGCAAACGACUUGAAAGAGAAAAGAGAUCAUU